GCUUGUCUCAAAGAUUAAGCCAUGCAUGUUCAAGUAUAGCAAGUGUACAGUGAAACUGCGAAUGGCUCAUUAAAUCAGUUAUAAUUUAUUUGAUAGUGAAAUUGUACAUGGAUAACCGUGGCAAUUCUAGAGCUAAUACAUGCGCCCAGACCCAACUUUUAGGAAGGGUUGUAUUUAUUAGGUACAGAACCAAUGCAAGCUCCGCUUGACCUUUUGGUGAUUCAUGGUAACCGAACGAAUCGCACGGCACCAGCUGGCGAUGGACCAUUUCAGUUUCUGACCUAUCAGCUUCCGACGGUAGGAUAUGGGCCUACCGUGGCAAUGACGGGUAACGGAGAAUUAGGGUUCGAUUCCGGAGAGGGAGCCUGAGAAACGGCUACCACAUCUAAGGAAGGCAGCAGG
This 402-nucleotide ribosomal RNA is filed under the name uncultured Gymnodinium. RNAcentral describes it as "partial small subunit ribosomal RNA". It matches the Rfam family "Eukaryotic small subunit ribosomal RNA", at positions 30 to 432 of the family's 1831-position model. Lineage: Eukaryota; Dinophyceae; Gymnodiniales. The record is from RNAcentral.